UCAAAAUAUUUAUAAUUAUACUCUAUUUCAUAUAUGCAAGGCAAAAGGGUUAAAAAAAAACCCUAAACUUAUGCCUGCAGAAUUAUUAUGUCCCUAAACUAUGACUCGGUAUGACUCAGCUCCAGUACUUUUUUAAUUGGGUUAAUUAAACCCUCUUUACCGAGUCAGUCUAUUUUUUACUCAGCACCGUUUGUCAUCUAUUAACUCCGUUAAAUACCGUUGGACCCUAUUUAAUACUGUCAACAGUUCUUCCCCAAUUCCAUAAAUCGUUGUUGCCAAUAUAAACCCUAAUUUUCUACCUAAAUCAAAUUAACCUAGAUUCAUACAAUCAAUUAAAAAACCAAAGCCUACAACAAAAGCAAAUGGCUUCUUCAUCUUCAAUUUCAAGAGCAGCAUCUUCAAGGGCUAGAGACAUGGAAGUUGGUGAUUGUGAUUAUGUACCUCGGCCAAUAAUUUGUAAUUGUGGGGAAGAGACUUUGAUAUACACUGCUUGGACGGAAAAAAAAUUACGGUAGGAGGUUUUAUGGUUGCCGAAACUAUCAGGUUGGAGGAUGUGAUGUGUUCAAGUGGAUUGAUCCUGUCAUGCCUCAAAGAGCUAGGGUAGUUAUUCAUGAGCUGAAUAUGGAAAAAAAUCAACUGAUGAGGCAGAAUAGUAGGCUUGUGAAGUUAUAAAGAGAUGCACAAGAUGGAACAAUGAUUCAUGAGUUAAGUGAGGAGGUGGAAAAGAUUGGUAAAGAGAAGAAGAAAUUGGAAGAAAUUUUGAGUCCAAUGUCUAAGAAAAAGAAUGUGUACAAAUGGACAUGUUUCAUUGCUUUGUUUUGUUUAGUUUAGCUUACUGAAUUUGCUUGCUCAGUUUGAAAGCAAUUGGUAAGAAAAAAUAUGUAUGUUGUGUUUUGUUUGAAUAUGAAAUGAGAUUGAUUGUGUUGCAUUA
Long non-coding RNA from Mercurialis annua (annual mercury), 931 nucleotides. RefSeq lists it as uncharacterized. Lineage: Eukaryota; Viridiplantae; Streptophyta; Magnoliopsida; Malpighiales; Euphorbiaceae. The transcript is spliced from 2 exons. The record is from RefSeq and is a predicted model, not a curated record.